RNAcentral lists this unclassified non-coding RNA (647 nucleotides) under uncultured Prochlorococcus sp. RNAcentral describes it as "partial 16S-23S ribosomal RNA intergenic spacer; may also contain 16S ribosomal RNA and 23S ribosomal RNA". The stretch from base 305 to 377 matches the Rfam family "tRNA". Lineage: Bacteria; Bacillati; Cyanobacteriota; Cyanophyceae; Synechococcales; Prochlorococcaceae. The record is from RNAcentral.
UUGUGGAGGAGGACGCCGAAGGUGGGGCUAAUGACUGGGGUGAAGUCGUAACAAGGUAGCCGUACCGGAAGGUGCGGCUGGAUCACCUCCUAACAGGGAGACAACAAAAUGUUUAAUAUUAUUAUUUUGUUACCUUAGGUCGAUCGGUAUCUCACAUUCUUAAUUUAUUAAGGAUUUCAUUCCCUAAGUUUUUCUAGGUCACACCCAUUAUUUUUCCUGGGCCAUUAGCUCAGGUGGUUAGAGCGCACCCCUGAUAAGGGUGAGGUCCCUGGUUCAAGUCCAGGAUGGCCCAUCUCUCUAUGUUGGGGGUAUAGCUCAGUUGGUAGAGCGCCUGCUUUGCAAGCAGGAUGUCAGCGGUUCGAGUCCGCUUACCUCCACUGAUUGCCACCUCUUCCAUAAUCUGUAGAAAGGAAAUUUUUUGAGUUGUGAUCAAAUUCUGAACGAAUCUAGCUUCCUAAUGCAACCAUUAAGAUGCUGGACUCAUUGAAUUAAUUUCAUUGUUUUCAGAGAACCUUGACAACUGCAUAGAUUAUUUUUAAAGACAAUUAGCAUCUUUUAAUGAUGCAGAUUUAUUAUUUGUGUAAAUACACUAAUAACAAUUCUAUUAAGCUGAUGCUUCAAUUUUGAAGUUAUUGGUCAAGCUACAA